UGGGGAAUAUUGGACAAUGGAGGGAACCCUGAUCCAGCCAUGCCGCGUGUGUGAAGAAGGCCUUAUGGUUGUAAAGCACUUUAAGCGAGGAGGAGGGUACUGGUAUUAAUACUACCAGGUACUGGACGUUACUCGCAGAAUAAGCACCGGCUAACUCUGUGCCAGCAGCCGCGGUAAUACAGAGGGUGCGAGCGUUAAUCGGAUUUACUGGGCGUAAAGCGUGCGUAGGCGGCUAAUUGAGUCGGAUGUGAAAUCCCCGAGCUUAACUUGGGAAUUGCAUUCGAUACUGGUUAGCUAGAGUGUGGGAGAGGAUGGUAGAAUUCCAGGUGUAGCGGUGAAAUGCGUAGAGAUCUGGAGGAAUACCGAUGGCGAAGGCAGCCAUCUGGCCUAACACUGACGCUGAGGUACGAAAGCAUGGGGAGCAAACAGG
This 430-nucleotide ribosomal RNA is filed under the name Pseudomonadota bacterium. RNAcentral's name for it is "Proteobacteria bacterium partial 16S ribosomal RNA". It matches the Rfam family "Bacterial small subunit ribosomal RNA", at positions 355 to 776 of the family's 1533-position model. Lineage: Bacteria; Pseudomonadati; Pseudomonadota. The record is from RNAcentral.